AGAGUUUGAUCAUGGCUCAGGACGAACGCUGGCGGCGUGCAUAACACAUGCAAGUCACGGGGGCCAGCAAUGGCAACCGGCGAACGGGUGCGUAACACGUAAGCGACCUACCUCGAUGUGGGGCAUAGCCGGCCUAACGGCCGGGUAAUUCCGCAUGUGAUCCUUGGGGGGCAUAUCCCGGGGAUGAAACCAGUAAUGGGCAUUGAGAGGGGCUUGCGGCCUAUCAGCUUGUUGGCGAGGUAACGGCUCACCAAGGCGACGACGGGUAGCUGGUCUGAGAGGAUGGCCAGCCACAUUGGGACUGAGAAACGGCCCAGACUCCUACGGGAGGCAGCAGUGGGGAAUCUUGCGCAAUGGCCUAACGGCUGACGCAGCGACGCCGCGUGAGGGAUGAAGCUCCUCGGAGUGUAAACCUCUGUUGCCCGGGACGAAUAGCGGAUUUUUCCGACUUGACGGUACCGGGUGAGGAAGCACCGGCUAACUCCGUGCCAGCAGCCGCGGUAAUACGGGGGGUGCGAGCGUUGUCCGGAAUCACUGGGCGUAAAGGGCGCGUAGGUGGCUUUGUAAGUUUGCGGUGAAAGCCCGGGGCUCAACCCCGGGUCUGCCGUGGAUACUGCAAGGCUUGAGUACUGUAGAGGCAGGUAGAAUAUCGGGUGUAGCGGUGGAAUGCGUAGAGAUCCGAUAGAAGACCGGUGGCGAAGGCGGCCUGCUGGGCAGUAACUGACACUGAGGCGCGACAGCGUGGGGAGCAAACAGGAUUAGAUACCCUGGUAGUCCACGCCGUAAACGAUGGGUACUAGGUGCUUCGGGGAGCGACCCCUGGAGUGCCGGCGCUAACGCAGGAAGUACCCCGCCUGGGGAGUACGGCCGCAAGGCUGAACUCAAAGGAAUUGACGGGGGCCCGCACAAGCGGUGGAGCAUGGUGGUUUAAUUCGACGCAACG
Molecule: ribosomal RNA, 943 nt
Filed under: uncultured bacterium
Lineage: Bacteria
Description: bacterial SSU rRNA
Rfam family: Bacterial small subunit ribosomal RNA
Source: RNAcentral